RNAcentral lists this transfer RNA (91 nucleotides) under bacterium. RNAcentral describes it as "tRNA-OTHER". It matches the Rfam family "tRNA". Rfam says of the family: Transfer RNA (tRNA) molecules are approximately 80 nucleotides in length. Their secondary structure includes four short double-helical elements and three loops (D, anti-codon, and T loops). The record is from RNAcentral.
AGCCAGUUAGCUCAGUCAGGUUCAGAGCGCUAGUCUAAGUUUGCAGUGGUGUGACAACUACAGUGAAUCGGUUCAAAUCCGGUACUGGCUA